This 468-nucleotide ribosomal RNA is filed under the name uncultured bacterium. RNAcentral's name for it is "partial 16S ribosomal RNA". It matches the Rfam family "Bacterial small subunit ribosomal RNA", at positions 28 to 507 of the family's 1533-position model. The record is from RNAcentral.
GACGAACGCUGGCGGCGUGCUUAACACAUGCAAGUCGAACGGAAAGGCCCUGCUUUUGUGGGGUGCUCGAGUGGCGAACGGGUGAGUAACACGUGAGUAACCUGCCCUUGACUUUGGGAUAACUUCAGGAAACUGGGGCUAAUACCGGAUAGGAGCUCCUGCUGCAUGGUGGGGGUUGGAAAGUUUCGGCGGUUGGGGAUGGACUCGCGGCUUAUCAGCUUGUUGGUGGGGUAGUGGCUUACCAAGGCUUUGACGGGUAGCCGGCCUGAGAGGGUGACCGGCCACAUUGGGACUGAGAUACGGACCAGAGUCCUACGGGAGGCAGCAGUGGCGAAUAUUGCACAAUGGGCGGAAGCCUGAUGAAGCAACGCCGCGUGCGGGAUGACGGCCUUCGGGUUGUAAACCGCUUUCGCCUGUGACGAAGCGUGAGUGACGGUAAUGGGUAAAGAAGCACCGGCUAACUACGUG